AAAUAUAAACGCAAAAAUUACUGAAACAGGUAAAGGGUAAUUAAUAACUAAUAAUUACAACUCAUCUAACAAUGACAACAAAGUUGAUAUUUGGUAGAAAGGCUUAUGCCAUUUUCACCGUAUGUGAAAACAUUCCUAUAUAUGUAUGCGCCAAAGAAAUAUAGAAGAGGAUAUUGCAUGCUUCUUUUAGGAUUCUAACAAGUCUAGUAGCAGGUAAUAAGGGUAUUACAAAUCAAGUGCAUGGUAAAUUCCUAUCAUCUACAAAUCAUUCAUCGUACCACAAUGAUUAUUUCAUAAGUAGCUAACACUGCUAUUUGAUAUAUUAUAUAUAUAUAUGUGAAUAUAUUUGCCAUGGGAGAGCCUAAUACCCAUUUAGAGACGAGAACAAACUUUGAUCAUUUCCCUUUUCUAUAACCUGCUCAUAUCCAACGGAUGCCUAUUCUGUGACCCUGCAAGAUUCACAGUAGAGGCAUUCAUCUGCAGAAGCAAAAGGAGUUGAUAUUAAGCUGGCUGCAUCGAAGGCUUUGCAUCCUCUCUUGGCUUGAUUUGAUUCUUCUUCUUCUUUUUCUUCUUGUAUGGAAUCCCUCUUGCCUUAGCCUGACACUCCCUCACUUCACGCAAAAAAACACGAAUAGCCCCAUUUCCAAAAGGAUUUGUCUCUGGUGAUCCUCCAUGCUCCUCAUAAGCAGCUCUUAGCCGUCCGAUUAGGGCAUCAAGACUUCCCCAAGCUUGCCUUAGAGGGCAAGUGCAAGGAGCGGGAGGGUCUGGUUGUCCGAAAAACACACACCCAUGUAGAUGAACCUUAGUCUUCCCAAACUGAUCAAGAUACCGAAGGAAAUCAAGAACAUGGUUGCAGUUACACUGCGACAGUGACACUGGCGGUCUCUGGUUCUUCAAAUACUGCCCGAAAGUGUUCCAAUCCCGCCGUUUCUGUGACUCGUAACGGCUCAACGGAGCCGGUUGAGGAAUUAGCUGCUGCUGCUGAUGAUCACCACCGGAUCGCGAGGACCCUUCCGCAGAAUCUUUAGGUCUGUCACCUGACAUGAUUAAAUUUUUUUUUUUCUUUUGGAGAAAUUCUUGGGUAUUUUUAGCAAGAAAUGGGAAAAAAAAGGUGGGGGUUAGAGAGCAAGAAAGAAAGAGAAAGGAUGCGAAA
Molecule: unclassified non-coding RNA, 1153 nt
Filed under: Hevea brasiliensis (rubber tree)
Lineage: Eukaryota; Viridiplantae; Streptophyta; Magnoliopsida; Malpighiales; Euphorbiaceae
Source: RNAcentral